Dicentrarchus labrax (European seabass) is the source of this 2277-nucleotide long non-coding RNA. RefSeq lists it as uncharacterized. The transcript has 2 exons. Lineage: Eukaryota; Metazoa; Chordata; Actinopteri; Moronidae. The record is from RefSeq and is a predicted model, not a curated record.
CCAUCACCUUUAACAGGCAGACACAGCUCAUAAGGAACAUCAACGGGGAAAAUGAAACUUUGCGAGUCAGAUGACGAAAUGCUGAGGAGGAGGAACCCGAGGGACGGGAUCUCUCCGCAACAGGCACCGCAACAACAAGAAGGAAAUGCUUCAGUCCUGUGGAUGGCGCUGAGAGAGGAGGAAAACUCGCAUACUUCGUCUGUCCCUCUGUCAAAUAGAGAUCCUCUCAGAAAUCAACAUUCAACGUUCAGCGUUUCACUGUGGAUUCACUUGUCACCAAGCUGCUGUUUUCACUCACUUUGUGUCCGCGCUGUCGAGUCGCUGUCUCUGUCUGAAGACACGGAGGUGGAUUGAACACACUACUGCGCACCUUGUCCGUGUUUUUGGGACUGUUUGCUGGAGUCGACGGAAGAUCAGACGCUCUUUAUUACAUUUUUUUGUUUUGUUUUUGUGUUUUGUUGAGUUUUCGGAAGAUUUCCAUUUUUCAUGUUUCGGAUUCAGAUAUAGCGACAUUCAACAAUUCAGGAAAUUGUCUUCAUGUGUACCCAAUGUGCUAUUGUGUCUCCCCAUUCUCAUUAAAGUCCACAUCUUAACUCUGCUGUUUUCAAAUUGUCAUAGCCUGUUGUUUAACAUGUUCUUUCAUGACAAAUGCGAAUACAAGCAUUACACUUGAUAACACACCCUUUUCCAGCUUCAUUGUGUCUUAUAAUUACAUCUAACGUGUGUAUUUAAAGAUUUGUGAUUGCUUUUUAAUCAUGAAGCCGAAUAAAAACAGCGGUAACCGAAUAAAAAGCUGCUGUGACAGAGGAAACUCUCCUCCAGCACAUGAGGUAUGCGUGCCCUCUUGAUGGCACAGAGGCUCACAGCCAAAGAAGCAAAGAAACUAAUUCUAAAUACUAGUGGGAAAUGUUGAGUUCUGGCCUGUGUUGUGUUUUUAAUAAUUUGUUGUUGGAUCUGAGCUCAUAAUCAGCCCGUGGAAGCCUUCUGUGGGCCGUGCGUAAAAGUGUCUGCUGUUGAUUCAUACCCCGGCAUUCUUACGUGUAUGAUUCAUCGUGCCAAGGACGGGCACAGCACAGUGAAGGCGUAUAGAGGAACAUCCCAUGGCUCUUUUUCUCUGCUAGAACCCGUCUGCAUUAGAGAAAGGAAGGCGGAGUGACUUUGGCUUCUGCACCGUGAUUAGACAGUGGAGCCAGUGGCGCACUAGAGCCGGUGCUCUGAAUCCGACACUAAAACUGUCUCUCUAACAGAGAAAAACAUUUUCAGAUUGAAGAUGUUUCGGGGUACACCGAAAAUCCAAAACCCGAGUAUCCAUAACCCGAGUAUCCAUAACCCGACGUUUGUUCUAUUAAAAGUGAAGUCAUCAGUCAUUAUGAAGCCAGAAGGAACUCUGAUCUCUAACUAUGGGUGCAGUCAGCACAAGAAUAACUGGGACGCUGCAGCAGACACUGUUGACUGUCCGGGAUGCCAUCUCUCGGGUUCACAUUCAGGCCGGUUACGCGGAGCCUGAUGGGCAGGUUGUCACCAUCACCUUUAACAGGCAGACACUCGCUGUGAUAUCCAUCGAAAGACUGCUGAUGGUCUUAUUGAACAUCAACGGGGAAGAGCAGCAGUGAUCACAGCUCAUAAGGAACAUCAACGGGGAAAAUGAGACUUUGCGGAGUCAGAUGACGAAAUGCUGAGGAGGAGGAACCCGAGGGACGGGAUCUCUCCGCAACAGGCACCGCAACAACAAGAAGGAAAUGCUUCAGUCCUGUGGAUGGCGCUGAGAGAGGAGGAAAACUUGCAUACUUCGUCUGUCCCUCUGUCAAAUAGAGAUCCUCUCAGAAAUCAACAUUCAACGUUCAGCGUUUCACUGGAAGCGGUGCUGUGGAUUCACUUGUCACCAAGCUGCUGUUUUCACUCACUUUGUGUCCGCGCUGUCGAGUCGCUGUCCCUGUCUGAAGACACGGAGGUGGAUUGAACACACUACUGCGCACCUUGUCCGUGUUUUUGGGACUGUUUGCUGGAGUCGACAGAAGAUCAGACGCUCUGAAAAAAUCGGAAAAAACUGAACAUUUCUCCCUCCAUUCGAGGUUGGGUUGAGGAUUUAAUUUGAGUAUUAUAGAGAGAUCACAGAUAUUUUAUUACAUUUUUUUUGUUUUGUUGAGUUUUCGGAAGAUUUCCAUUUUUCAUGUUUCGGAUUCAGAUAUAGCGACAUUCAACAAUUCAGAAAAUUGUGUUCAUGUGUACCCACUGUGCUAUUGUGUCUCCCCAUUCUCAUUAAAGUCCACAUCUUAA